This 229-nucleotide unclassified non-coding RNA is filed under the name plant metagenome. RNAcentral describes it as "partial contains small subunit ribosomal RNA, internal transcribed spacer 1, and 5.8S ribosomal RNA". The record is from RNAcentral.
UCUCCGUAGGUGAACCUGCGGAGGGAUCAUUACAGAGUCCUCGCCCUCGCGGGUAGAUCUCCCACCCACUGUUAUCGUUACUGUGUUGCUUUGGCGGGCCGCCGGGCCCCGCUCGGCCGCCGGCUCCGGCUGGCGCGCGCCCGCCAGAGGCCCAGCAAACUCUGAAUGUUAGUGUCGUCUGAGUACUAUAUAAUAGUUAAAACUUUCAACAACGGAUCUCUUGGUUCUG